AAUCUUUUUAACCUUAAUUAUCUCAAUUAGCUUUCAAAAAACCUAAUUCACCUAAUAAUCCUAAUCAGAAAACUUUUUCCCCAAAUUUGGCUUCCUCUUCUUCGCGAACAAACCCGAGCAUCAGAGGAUCCUUCGUCGUCCUGCAAGGGCGACAUUAUUAUCCUUUCUCUUUUUCAUUUUGGUUUAUUAGCAAGGAAUUAUUAUUCUUCUUCUUCUUCUUUGCUUUAGGUUCGCGCAUCCAACCCAACCUAGGGUUUUCUCCGUCACGCGAGAGACAACCAACCUGGGGGAUCAUUAAUGACGCGGCGGAGAUGCGACGGAAACGCGGCGUGGUCGCAAGGGUGUGGUGGUUGUUGUUCUUCUCUUCAUUCUGAUUCACAGCAAAGGAGAAAGUUUCCUUGCCACCUCCUUUUCUAAUUUCGAUUGGGUUUUUUUCUGUUUGAUUGUUUCUCUACAGGAGUGGUAGUGAGAGUGUGCCAACCUCGCUCUUGCAAUGAUUUGGAUUUUGCAUUUCGUCUUGAGGGUUGAUUUAUGAGUUUCUCAUCCAUUGUAGCAUGAGUCGUGAAGAGUGGUCGCAUCGUUUUGAGUUAUGAUUUAGGAAUUCUCUUUUGGGGUUAUAUGUUCUUCUAUUUCGAUCUUGAAAGUUGGAUAUUUGAAUUACAAAUCAUCAAGAACCUUACUUUGAAUUCAAAUAUCUUCAUGUUGUUUGUCACUUGUUCGCAUUGAAAUCUCUAAUUCCCUUUUUAAUUUUCUCUUUCUUUAACCCUAUUUAGUUCAGAAAGCCCUAAUUUGAAAAAAACAAAAGC
RNAcentral lists this small RNA (806 nucleotides) under Vigna angularis var. angularis. Its description in RNAcentral is "Non-protein coding transcript". Lineage: Eukaryota; Viridiplantae; Streptophyta; Magnoliopsida; Fabales; Fabaceae. The record is from RNAcentral.